GUAACCAGCAGAACUUACCUUGAAAAAAGUCAUGGUUGCACCAUCCUCUACUGCUCCAUAUUCUAUCUUGGUUUGUUUAGCUAAAUCAUCAGCAGAGUCAAUAGGGGAUUCCAUGCGUUCCACUGUCAGAAAGGCGGCUAAGUUAGCAGUAUACGAAGAAAUGAUGAUAAGUGUGAAAAACCACCAAAUGCCUCCCACUAUCCUGGUGGACAGUGCUUUGGGCAUGAGCUCAGAACAUUGGGCUUGCGGUACAAAAUACUUAUUCCAAGUGUCAUAAAGGGCUUGGAAAAGUCGAUGACCUUCUCUCGAACAUAGGUAAUAGCCAGUGGAGCAACUGCAAGGUCAGCUU
RNAcentral lists this long non-coding RNA (349 nucleotides) under Homo sapiens (human). RNAcentral describes it as "non-protein coding lnc-ASCC3-7:1". Lineage: Eukaryota; Metazoa; Chordata; Mammalia; Primates; Hominidae. The record is from RNAcentral.